Molecule: ribosomal RNA, 245 nt
Filed under: uncultured bacterium
Lineage: Bacteria
Description: partial 16S ribosomal RNA
Rfam family: Bacterial small subunit ribosomal RNA
Source: RNAcentral
UACGAAGGGGGCUAGCGUUGCUCGGAAUUACUGGGCGUAAAGGGCGCGUAGGCGGGUCACUAAGUUGGGGGUGAAAGCCCAGGGCUCAACCCUGGAAUUGCCCUCAAUACUGGUGACCUUGAGUAUGGCAGAGGUGUGUGGAACUCCGAGUGUAGAGGUGAAAUUCGUAGAUAUUCGGAAGAACACCAGUGGCGAAGGCGACACACUGGGCCAUUACUGACGCUGAGGCGCGAAAGCGUGGGGAG